AUCUCAGGCAAAACGCAGCCCUCCUCUCGCCCAACCGACCGAGGGGCGCUGCCGCACAACGCGCGGUGCGUAGCAAAACCGAAUACAAAUAUGAGAAAAAUACAUUUACGAAUACCACAACAUAUACUAAUUACUAGAAAGGCAUUGAAGACUGCAAUGAAAUUAUAUGGUUCCAACAGGAAGGCUACUUACCAAAUGACAAUUAAAAUUUUGCCAUGGAGACUAGCGGGUACGGAUGUAAAUUAGAGAGCGUGCGAUUUUUUCCGUUAGACUUUUUAUAAAGUCGCAGCUCUGUGCCAUAAGCCCGAAAACCUCAAAGCUAUCGCUCAAAUAAAAACCUGCAAAAACCUUGGAUGCGAGCUACGACAAUGCCCGGAAGAGAGUGCGGAAAAAGUAAGAAAGCAAACAGUUCAAAUUUUGGGUGUGAGUUUUGAGUGUAUUGGUAUCAGACAACAACAGGCCAUACAGGCAGAUUAGCAUGUAUGUAUCUGACAUAUUAUAUAACUAUCUAACUAUCAUAGCUACCUAGAGUUACUAAAACAUGUAAGAAUCAUGUUUAAUAAACACUUCAUUCACAACUAAUUGCAAUAAAGUGUAUGUUGCACAC
Molecule: long non-coding RNA, 607 nt
Organism: Drosophila miranda
Lineage: Eukaryota; Metazoa; Arthropoda; Insecta; Diptera; Drosophilidae
Exons: 3
Source: RefSeq, a predicted model, not a curated record